Molecule: long non-coding RNA, 34958 nt
Filed under: Coffea arabica (coffee)
Lineage: Eukaryota; Viridiplantae; Streptophyta; Magnoliopsida; Gentianales; Rubiaceae
Description: long non-coding RNA (CARA_LNC007606)
Source: RNAcentral
UUUUUUUUUUUUUUUUUUUUCAAGUCCUGCUUGAUCCUUUGCGUUUUAGGAGCACUUGGCUUUGGCUAGUCCAAUUCUCAGGCAGACUUAACCACACUAUAUUGAGUUAAUCCACCCAAUCUCUCCUAGAAAGAGUAGGUUGGUCACUAAAAAACUGCAUUUAUCCAGUACCCCUAAGUACUUUGUCAGGUUCCAACUAGUGAGAAAAAGGAAUCAAAGGACAAAUUGAUGUCAGACGAGAAAAUGGCAGUGAAGCAAAAAAAGGUGAAAAGAAUGCAAUAGCACUCUUCAAAGUUCCAAUCAACCGUUCGACAUCAAACGCAGUACCGCUGCUUUUUCGAGGAUUUAUAGCCUCAAGCUUAGUUAUCAUCAGUGUCCCACGGGAAACAUGUAAUAAACGGUCUUCUCAAAUAGUAAUAGUAUCUUCUGCUAAGGUCUAAAAUUGUCCACAAAACAAACCACAGUGACAUUUUAACAACUGUUUGAGCGAUUUUGCAUGUAUGACAUGAAAUGUGAAAUCUUCUGCUAAGGUCUUGAGAUUGUCCAAGGUCCAAAGAACAGGCCACAGUGACAUUUUAACCACUCUUUAAGCGAUUUUGCAUGUAUUACAUGAAAUGUGAACGAGGACAUAGAGACAUACAGGAUUCCUGUGGACCAGCAUGACUUGGCUUGCUUACCAUCGGGUAAAAGGAAGCAACUCCAGUUUUCUUCGAAAUGACUAAAACUGGGAUAUAAUUUCUACUUAUGUGCAGACAGGUUGGUCCGUAUACCUAACGGUCUGCAAUGUUAUGUAGCAUGCAUGAAGGACAUUAACUUUUACCAUACUUUCUUUGUUCAAGGAAUCUUGGUUUGUCUCUUUUUUUUUUUUUCAAGAUGAUAACUGUUGUAUAACCUGUUUUAUCUUAAACUACAGGAAAUGAGAAGUUUAAAGAGACUUGUAUCAGGAAUUAGCAGGCACACAGACUUACUAGACUAAAGGAGUGUUUUGGCACAACACUUGAAUUUUUUUCGCUGCAGUAAGAUUUGAAUCCCCAUUUAUAGCCCAAGGAGACUGCCACUAAGCCAAUCUUAGUGGUUAAGGAAUCUUGGUUUGUCAUUGUCUCGAAAUCGAAAUCAACGAAAAUGUGGGAGCCUGGGUUGGAAUCAAUUAGCUUACGUGUAAGAACUGAUUGGCGAAAAGUUUCCAUGUCAAAAUCAAAAUUCUUUCAACGAUAUAGUUGCCAGCACGUUAAGUAACCUAAAUGCUCUAACUUCCAAUUUUCAUCAGCCUUUAGCGUGAUGUGAUGUAAAACGAAUAAUUCAGGAAAAAUAGAGAACUUUAACUUUUCUUGCACGCAAGUGUACAUUUGGUUCUCCAAUUAAGUACACAGGAAAGAAAGACUUUUCAUUCUCUGCCUUUUGAAAUCCUCAAAAGUUGCCGUCCUUGGCAUGCUGAACAUAGUCGUCCUAGGUAAUCUUUCCAUGGAAGAUCUCGUACACUAUAACUUUAAAAUGUCAAUUUUAUGACACAUACGAAUCAGGAUCCUUGACUUCUGAUAGCUCAAGAAUUGAUAUGUAUGCCAUUGAGUUGUUUGAAUGAUUAUACUUCUUCUCCUGCCUACUGCAUAACGCCUCUAUUUCUCACCUCGUUUCCUGCUAGGACCAUCCAACAGCCCGGGCUCUGCAGAUGGACCUAAGAGUCUUUAUAAGAGUCAAUCUGGAAGUUUAUACAUAUAUGAGACGUAGAGAAGAUGAUAAGAAGAAAUCAUGAUGGCAAGAAAUUGUUAAUCCCCUUAGGCUGAGAGACAAAAUAUAUUAGCUCUACAAUCAAUCAAAGCCUUUUUUUUUUCCCAUUUAUGCAACACAUCAUUACACCAUUAGGCUCUACAAUAAGCACAAAGCAACAAAAAGGAGGUAAAUACCAUCUAAACUUGCAUUUUUUCAGUCAGACUCCAAUUUUGCUUGGCACCUGAAAUAUACUUCAGAAUAAUAAAUAUGCCCUUUGUCUGGCAAGUCUGACGCACAUUACAUUUAUGCUAAAGUUCAAUUACACAAUUAAAUAGACGCUUUCCAUCUGAUGCAUUGUUGCAAAAUAGUAAAUCAAGUACAAAAUUGAAUCAGCCCAAGCACAAUCUAACAAAGGGGAAAUUUCCAUGUACAAACCCAAACUCGCUAAUCUACAGGAAGCAGCACUUGGGAAAACAGAAUAACCCCAAUGCUGACAUCAAUCAAUAUAUUAAGGUCAUCGGUUCAGCACUGUUUGAAUAGCAUUCUGUUGAGCCGUAGUUAAACUCUGCAAAUUGAGUUAUACAGGGUUCAGUGAAACAGCAUAAAAUUAUAGUCUGCUUAUGUUUAGCAAUAGUAUUUUCAAUGCUAACCAGACCUGCAGAAGGUUAUUAAAAAAUGGCCUAUUGUUCUGAGAGAAGUUGACUAAGAAGUCCACAAGAUAGUUGACCAGAUUAAUCUGCCAAUAUCGAGCGAAAGAAAUAAGUUUAAAUUAAGAAGGGCAUACUUUUAACCAUAUAUGAUAGUUAUAGAGCGCAGAUUUGCACCUCAUUAAGGGGGUCAGCACCACUGAGGAACUCAUCUUCACAAUCCUCAUCAUCCUGCACCAUCACACGAAACCAAAGUAGCCAAGAAUCCAGUCAAACAGAUGUACAGAAAUCAAUCAUUCAGAACACAAGAAAGCUGCAGCCAAUCAGUGAAACCUCAUUGAAAGCCUUUGCCAUUGCAUCAAGAUACUUAUGUGUAGGUCUACUAUGUGAUGUGGCACUAGCUGAAUAAAGCAACUCUUGAUCAAUCCCAGCAUCUCCAGUCUGAACCUCCUCCCAAUCACUAUCCUGAAAUGCCAAUUAGAGCAGGAAAAUAAAUUCCAAUUUAAACAGACAUCACGGAACCAAUACAAAAUUUACUUCAUAAAUACCUCUUCAUCAUCAUCCACAACUUGUUCAUGAAUUUCAAUCAGAGCAUCUGCCAAUAAAGCUAGUAUCUGAUAUUUUGAGUAAAAAGAUGGGGUCAAAUUAUUGAACCACAAAUAAACCACUUUGGUGUACAUUUACAAAAAAGAAUACGUUUCCACUUCCACUACUUCAUUACCUAGUUUUCCUACUUGCUUUCCUGUCAUAAAAGUUUAAGCAUAUACAAAGUUUCGAAAUUCAAAAUUAAGAAUAAAGGCAGUUGCCUGCUAUCAAUGGAAAGAGUAAAUAGCAUGAUCUAACAACAAAAGCGAAAUGAAAGACUAGAUUUAACUGACUGGAAUCUGCAUCCCAAUUAUUCCAGAGUCAGAGUCUUAUUCUUAGACAGAAGACACAAUAAGCUGCAAAAUGCAGGCAAAAAGGGUUAACAAAGUGACUUUGCAUGGAAACAUGCAACCAUAAUCACCAAUAUUACUUCUAAUCUCGAAACUAUGUAUCUCCUACAUAUAUGUUUAUCCCUAAACAUAUAACACCAGAAAAAAGUAUAAUUUUUGUAAGACUUUUUUUCCUGCUUUGCAUUUUGAUGGUCCACAAAAGUGCAAAGCCCCAUACCCUCAUGCUUCCAAUCUAACACCACUAGCUGGUCACAUAGCAUCAGAAUGUGAUUGGUUUAAAAAUUGACUUUUACAACUAUAGUGAUUGGAACAAGAAAUCACAAUGCACAUUCAUUCACAUUUCUGACAUCCGGACCAAAAGUUUAUCCACCCAAGAAGCAUUUUUGGUUGCAGAUAGCAUAGGAAGUACCUUUGCAGGAAGCGGCAUCAGUGUCCAGUGAUCUGGAGCUAGUUUAGCUCUUGAACGAGUAAUUAUUCCUGCAUUAGACUUCAAUUUUCAUAUGAAGCUGAUUAAGAUCUUGAACAAUGUCUCUAAGUGCAUGUGCUAGGAACAAAUUUAACCAACCUUAACUAGGUGGCCCUGGACAUCAAUCUUUUCCAAUUCAGCAUGCCUGGUGGAUAAUAGCAAAGCCAAUGCGGUGGUGGUUACUUUGAUCUGGUAUGCCCCCAAAAUUUCCCCUGAAUUAAAUAAAGCAUAAACUCAUCAGUUGGUUACUUGCUUCUGUACAUCUAUUCCUAGAAAAAUAUCAACAGGCUAUCAGUCAUCAGUUGGUUUACUACUGCUAUUAAGACAUUACUUCUAGGCAUAUUCCAGACAAACAAAGAAAUGGAAAUAGUAAGAGGCUAUCAUAUCAUUAAUAUUCUUCCUUCAAGCCUGCAAACUUGGUAGUUUACUUUAAAGACACAGAAAUGAAAGGUCGAAGGUUGUUUGUCAUCUAUUAAACAAGAAGGAGAGAAACAAUUUCCUUUAAAGUAUGUCCCAAGGUUUGAUUGAUUCCUAAACAAAAGAACAACUUACAAUACUAUUACUUAGAACCCCUGAGGAUCAGUGUAGUUCUUAUUUUAAUUGGUACAAAAUAAAUGAUCUGAUUAGUAUAACCACCUAGUCCUUGCAAAAAGAAACUGCCAUGUAAGUGCACACCACACGUUACCAUCACCACAGUUAACAGACAUGAACAAUGUAACAAACACUAUUCUCUUCUGCACAUAGUACAAACAAAUAUGCGCAUGCAACAUGAUGAUGACUCUAGCUUAGCUCCUGUUUCCAAAUCUUGAGAGGAGGACAAUAAUAACACUGAGGUACCAGCAGUAUCAAUUCAUGGUUAUUAUGAUAGAUUGCAGAAGAAGGGACAUAUAAAGUAGCUUAACCAAAUAAAAGAAGUCUGUAUCUGAACAACUAAAGAUGCCUGGGCCUGUGAGCAGGAUUAGUCCAAUCUAUCAACUAAACCUACCUUUCCCAUGCUCCCACAUGAUUUUCUGAAACAUGAUAAACUGAAUCUCAAAGCACUCAAACUACCAACAUAUCAUAUCAACAUGAAUCAUAAACCCACUGCCUUCUCAUUCUAUUUAUCAGCCCAAGAUUCAGCAAUUCAUCUAAACACAUCAUGGACAAUGCCUAAUUCCAAAUUCAUUAAUAAGGCAAGGCAACAUGCAAUUACUCUGGGACGAUAGACAUACAAGCUAUACAAGAAUAUCUGUACCAAACAAUGUGAAGAAGGCAAGCCUAUACACUCACCUUGCUGUCUAGUCCACUCAGACAUCACAUAAGCAAAGGAGUUUUUAUGGCCUUCAGCUGGAAUUGAGACCAGCAAAUCAAUAAACUUUUCAACGUUUGGGAGACUCAUAUGGGCCUGCACAGAAAAAUGUCUGAUGACCAUAGCUGCAGUUACAAAGUAGAUACUGGAAGCAAAAGAGACAGCACAAGUAAAAAUGGAAAAUGAACAAAUGAAAAAAAAAAGUUCAUGCAUAAAAAAGCUGACAAGCUGUAAUUUGACUGAAAAUCCAAUAAACAGAGAUAAGCAAAAUGUUUGAAUUUGAGCUUCCAUGGUGCAAGGGUCCAUUAUUCAAUUUUAAUAUGCCAAAAUUGCAUGUGAGAAACUCAAUUGUGUUGAAGUCCUAAAAGUUCAGAAGCAGUAUCAUUGCCUAAACUAAAGUCAAGAAAAGUGUUUCCUACCAGUCUAGCAAAAAUAAGGAGCAAUGAGCUUCUGAGUCCAGCAAUCUCAGAAGACUGCAUGCGCCUAAUAAGAGCAACAACCAGGUCUCUGAUAUGCAAUGCCAUUUGUGAAGGAAGAUGUAGGAUAAGUUGCAAAAUGAAAGAGCCAACAAAGAGUGAGCCAGAGCUUUCAAGAUUAGGAUCUAGCAACCUGCAAACAGAUUCUAACCAUUAGUUAACCCAAAACCAAGUACAGUAAUACAACAUAUGAUGGAUAAUCCCACCCUCUCCCUUUAGCCCAAUCUUCUUUGACAAGCAAAGAGGUAGCAGAGUAAUAAGUAACUCAGUGUUCAUAUUAUUUGGGUCUACCCACUAAAAACAAGCAUCAUAAUGGGAAAACAUCAUCACAAGUGUGUCCUGAUCAAUAAUCUCGCUUGACAAUUCAGGGCAAUCAAAUAAUCCUUUCAUGCUGAAAUCAGUUUCCAAUUGAUAGAAAGUGUCAUAGAUAGCAAGUUAGGCUAAUAGAAUUUGUUAAAACACAUUAGGGAAGAUAAAAAGUCACCCAGUAAAUGUCCUCUUCCUGAGUAGUGAAUAUUUGCACUUUCCUUUGAAGCUAGAGUGAACACACAAAACUGCAGAGAAAAGAACGUUGAUGGAAAAAUGAAAAGUAGAGAAGACAUAAAAUAUUUCUUAAUCCUCAAUGCAGAUCUGAAACUGUUGCAUCAUUGAUUCAAUAAACAUGAGAACAGCUCUCGUGCUCUGGAUAAGUCAACUUCAAAACAUGGACAUUCCAAUGAAGAGGUAGAAAAUGAAAGAAUCAAGAGUUCAUUGUCAUGUUCAAUCGGAAUUCUAGCACAAGAAUGAAGAAACAGAAAUUUGAAGCUUCAUCAAGAAAAAUAAAAUAGAAAAACAAACAGCGAAGUACCUUGAAGCUACAUCAAGCAAACUUCUCAUUGCGAACGCAGGAUCUCCACCCCACAUAAGUAAUUCUUCUUUCCCACCGGAAACAAGGGAUGCCAAGCACUGAGUUGCAUUCUGAUAGCAUUUAAGGCAACAAGAACUCGUCAUUUUCUAAAUUUGCUGCAAAAAAACCACUGAAAGUGUAGAUGUUCUAAGAUUGUACCUAAACAAGAAAACUGGGGAAAAAAUGAAGUAGCUAAUGAAAAGAACCUGCAUCUCACUAUGGUCAUCACUUUGAAGGACUAUUCGAGUGAUGGAAUCAAAAGAAACUUCAAAAAUUGCUCGUACAACAUCACUAGGAGCAUUCUGCAAAUUUAGUGUCUUUAGCAACGAACUUAAUGCAAAAAGUUUCAUUAAAAGCGAGGAUCUCCUAUAACACUUAAAUUAGAUUUAAACAGAACAGAUGAGCAAAAGUUGAACUCACCUUUAAUAACAUUGUCAGAAGAUCAAGAGAACCAGCAACUAAACCAUCCGGCUGCUGAUGUGGCUGCCAAUGGUCAACAAGUAUCAUUCAAUGCAAAGUACUGUAGAACCAAUAAGAUCUCAAUGUAAUAUUGACAGAAAGUAAAUCAGAGCCUACUUUAUUGAGAAUUGGUGUAGUAUAGGGUAAAACACGAGAAACUAAGGGAUGGAUACAACCAGGAGCAUUCUUUAUGGCCUGCAGCAGAAAACAGAAAGACAUAAUUAAGUGAUUGAGUAAACAUAAUGGACAGAGUGGGAGAUGAUACACCUCCACGCUGAUAUACUCAUAAAUGCUGCUCUUAAGCUGAACACAUUCUGAAGGGUGAAAUAUAUUGAUUGGGAUUCAUAACUAAGCAUCCGGAAGGGGGGGGGGUAAGAUGAAAAUACUAAUUUGUUCAAAAAAAUUAAACAUCCCCUUAAUUCUUCAAACUGAAAAUGGAAUAUAGAGAUGAUGGUUAGCCAUUUGCACAGCUCUUCAGUCUAUUCUUUGGUGAAUCAUACAUGUUUCUGUAUUCUUUCACAACUAGCAUAAUUACUUGUCUAAUUCUCAAGUCUACAGUACAUAGAAAGGGAAGCAAGCAUUGGUUUUUGCCAGGUCUCUCCUGAAAAUAGCCUCAUUAACCACUGAUGAGGAAAGUCACUGAAGUUUCAACCAGAAAGUUCCACUUCACAGCCUUUUCUUUAACUCACUAUCGUGAUUCUAUCACCCAUCUAAGAUAAAAAAUAAUAAUAAUUUUAAAAAUAUAGAUGGCAAAAUUCUGAAACGAUAGAUAACAUGACAUAAGAUUAUAGAUAUGUUAGACACAUGUUGCUUAAUGUCUAGCACUAAAAUGUCAAACCAAGAUACAGGUCUGAUAUGAAAACUUAAUAAGCAGCUAAACUGUCAAAACGACUGAGGAUUCCAUAUACUUCAAAUGACGCAACAUCAAAGUCUAUCAAAUUCUUUGUGCAAAAAACAUCAAAUCACUGAACUUCUGUGAAAGAUGAUGAUGCUUUCCAGACACAGAAGAGCGGAAGGGAUCAAAUUCCAGAGGUUUAGGAACUUCAGUUUUGAAAGAUUUUGGGAACCAUUCAAACAAGUUCCCACUGCCUGUUUGUUGAUUUGAACUCUUAUCCCACAACUGAAAGCAUGAACUCCUUAACAAAAGAAACAAGUGAAAAUUCAACAAUUCCUCAUUGGUUUAUAGUUUAAAAUGAAAAUUUCUCCAGUAGAGCAAUGUCAGCUUAUCUUUGUAUUCAAGUUUUACUAAAGCAACAAUCACCAAGAUCUUCAUAAAAUGACCAUCAAAGAAGACUGAAGACAAGAUUUAGAUAGACAGGAUCAAUAAAAGGAAAGUGGUGCAACCCAAAAAAUGAUUUUAUCAGAAAAUUUAAGUUUUUUAUUUCAGUUACAGCUCAAGGGUCAUAUCAUGCACCAAAUUGCACCCCUUGUGUAUUAAACAUAAAACACGAAUAACUUCCAGAACCAAAGGCAAAUGGGAAAAUCACCUCCAAAACCUCAAUUGCAUCUAUGCUGAUGAAAGGGUCAGAAACAUGUGAAGCCCACAUGGUAAGAAUAAUUGGAGAGAGAACAGGUUCUAUCGAAACUAAUGCUUUAUGACCUGAAAUUUAUGACAAUGCAAAAUAAAGGCAGGAAAUAAAUGGAGAUCACUGAAGAAAUCUUAGGGGAAUAAACACUAUAAGAACACAACUCGUUUCAAAAUCAACCUGCCGUAGCUGCUGCUCGUAAUGUUUCAAGUACUAGAUGCAUGGUUUCAUCGGAGGCCUAAUAAAGCAGAUAGCAACUGUAAGAUGCAGCUUCAACAUUAAUGAGAAACAUCCCAUCGUGUCUACCAAAAAAGCAGUAUUGUAAAAGUGCAACUGCUGCAUUGCCUGGUUAAGUAGAUUGGUGAGUGAUGAAAAUAACUCCAAUAUAAGAGGCUGAAGCACUUCACUUUUUACAUCAGGCAAAAGCUGCGAGAGUGCACGACAGGCACCAACUUUCACAGGUGGGGGCCUAUAAAUGGAGAAGUAUAGUCAAGUUAUAAUUUGAAAGUUGGUCCCAUAGUACAGAAAGAUAAGGCAAUCAGGUAAUCAGGUUCUUACACAUCCAUGCCAACUGCCUUGAUACCAGCAACUAAGAAAUGCUCUACAACAUUACUUUUGAUCUGAAGAACACAGGAGUUAAAUGAGGUCAAAUAUUCCACUACACCGGAAAAGGGAAAAUAAACAGGACCAGUAGUUACCACAGAGGAGAACUUUGCAACUGCUGAAAACAGACGAGCAUAAAGAAAAGGAUACUCAUGCACCCCUGCAAGAUAGACAGCAAUAUCAACUCAAUAGGGUUAGACCUACAUACUCCCAACCCCGCCUCCAAAAUAAGAAGAACUCUGCCACCAACCAAAAAAAAAAUUAUCUUGUGUAUAUAUUUGUACAUGUGUGUGUAUACACACACUUGUAUGUUAACAACCAAUUCACUGCAUUGACAUUAUUUCUCCUUUAGUCCGACGGCUAGCAGAGACACCAUUCUAUUGAUCUUUCGCACCAUGGGGUGAGAAUCUAAUUCCAUAUUCAAGAAAGAGUAGUACAUACUGCACAACAGAACCUACCUGUUGCCAUGUCUUCUAUGAAUAUUUGCUCCAUAACAUUUCCUAGACUGACUUCUGAAACUCCAGAAUCCUGCAAAGUAGGAAAUGAGCGAUUCAGAGACUAGAUGCAAUUUUAUAGCCCAAUUUCCUUUCUUUUGUUGAGUUUGCUAAUUUGACAGGUGCCCUUAUUUGCUUAUAUCAGAAGGCAGAUAUAAUCAUAUUACUUCAUGUUGUGCUCUUAUAAAACAUCUGUUCUUAUCAUAUUUAUAAAAAUGUAAAGAAGCUUAAGCACAAACCUCAGCCUCAAGCAAAUGUUCUGAUACAGCAGACAGAGCAUAAAGGGUAGCUUCGCGCAUCUGCAAAAUUCAUUUCUCAGGUAAGCUAAACAUGUACUCUACAUUUAAAAAUCAACUUAAGUAGUUCCACGUUUGUCCUCGGAAAAAACAGGCAUCGAAAGAGAAAAAGUUUGACACUUGCACCCACUAUAACUAACCGGCAAAAAAUGUUAACCAAUAAACAAACCACUAUUAAAAGGAUUGAUAGUGAUAAACAAGUAGAUGUCAUUACAGACCAUGAUCAGAAACCAGCAAAAUAAAUCAACAACUUUUUAUAUUACAUGUCAUCUUACUAGAACUGGAACACUAAAGUAGCCCCAUCAUAGGACUCAAGCAUGCUUUUUUCCGUUUAAUAGAUAAAUACUACCCAUAUGCCGUAUCCUAAAGCAAUUAACAGCAGCAUGAGACAUAGGAUCAGUUACAUCAGAUCACUACACAUAAAAGCUCUCUCCUAUCCAAAACUUUCCUCCCCAUUUGACCUAAAAGAGAAGCACAGUGCAAAAUCAUACAAAAUCACUAACUAAUCACAGCUCUAACAUAGUCUAAUAAGGGAAGUGGGGGAAAAAACACAAAGAUUUGUCUCAAUCGAGUAUCCAAAAGGGUUAAGUGCAGCCAUCAACAAGGCAUUCUAGCAAUUAGAAAAGUAUUAGCAAAGUACAUUGAUGAGUAUGUAACAAACCACUUACAUUGAUGAGUAUGUAAAAACACAAAGAUUUGUCUCAAUCGAGUAUCCAAAAGGGUUAAGUGCAGCCAUCAACAAGGCAUUCUAGCAAUAGAAAAGUAUUAGCAAAGUACAUUGAUGAGUAUGUAACAAACCACUUACCCUCCACCAACUAGCAGCACCAGCAGCUUUCUCUGCUUGGGACUCUCUAAAUCUUCUUUUUGCAGAAUCAAGCACAGCAUCUAUGCCCAAAGCACCAAAAGAACUAAUCACCUCCUCAAUGAGAAGUGCACCUAGAAAGGAUUGAACAAUUAGAGAGAGACUUGUUAUAAGAGCUCCAAUUGGCCAAGAACAAGAGAAUCACAGCAAUCUACGUGACCAAGGUCAAGGAGUAUCAAGAAUUAUGGUCAAAUUAAAAAGGUAACACAUUAUUUAUACAGACUAAUGUAUUUGAAAAUGACUAUCUAGGGCUUCAGAAUCCAUUACCUACUUAAAGAAGGGGAAAGAAAAACCAAUUUCUUCAGUAGGUUAUUUUUAAACUCCAGAUAAGCAAAUUAAGUUAUCAUCACACGUAAAAUAAGUAUACUUCCACUAUCAUCUUUUCCACAUCCUUACCCAAAAAAAAAAAAAAAUUCUAAACAAAAGCCACAGCUGAUUUUCAUAUAGUUAUCUCUGAAUCCUAAUAUUUGAUUAUCCCAGCAAAACUACUUUUCAGGAAUACCUACCAUAUGCAAAACCAAGACAUGGAUCGAAAUAUAGUUUCCAUGACAUGAAGAGCAAUAUGGUUUCCAUUACAGAAGAUGAUACAUAAAAAUUACAUCACCACAGCGUAUAUGCACAUCACUAAGAGUCUAGGACGCUAAGGAAACUCUGAGCUUGUUAGGAGAAAAAUUUGUGCUAACGCGACUAAGAAACAACACCAACUUUGCCCUCUACUGAACUUCUCUCAGAAUUGACUCUCUGCAAAAGGAAGGGAUAAAAAGAAAGGAAUAAUUUCUCUCAAGUUUUGCCUUUCUCAUGCUAAAACAUAGAACACUGAUCAUCUAAAUGAUUUUCAGUUUUGUUUAAUAAACGAAAACAGGUAAAGAUGGUGUCUGAACUUAGGAGUCCUAUCUAUACUAGCGAAUGACCACAACCAAAUCCCCUGCACAAAAGUUUUAAUUGAAUUAGUUGAUUGUGCAAGAAGAGAGGGCAAAUAGAAGCAAAUCUUCACAUAGUGCAAGGAAGUAAAACAAGUGCAACAGCUACAGCUCACCAGACACACGACAACUAUAAGUGUUGUCAUCCUCAUCAGCGACAUACUGAUUAGCAUCCAGAGACCACGUAUGGACCUAAAGCAAGUUGCAAGAACAUUAUGCAAGAGUAAAACUGACAAGCAGAAGACUAAUUGAACUUCCAGAAAUGACAAUUAGACUGGAGGCAGUAUUACAAACUCGUUUAUGCAAAAAAAUAAGCUGAACAUAUAACAACUACAAGAUGAAGUAACAUAUAUCCCUCGAAGCAGUUUCAACAAAAAUUACAGCAAAAAGCUCUGACACCUGCUCUAUGGAAAUUAACAAGUAAUCCACCGAAACCCGCCCGGCCAUAAUAUGGCAGAUAGAAUGUCUAACUCCAUAGUUCCAGAAGAUACAAAUUUCCAUUCUUUAUAGAAUGUCUAACUCCAUAGUUCCAGAAGAUACAAAUUUCCAUUCUUUAAGGCAUAUAGCAGUUACCAAUUGUAGGGAGUCAUGCAAUACAUGUGAAAUAGAAAUCCAAAAAUAAUCAUCAUUUAACUUCCAAAAACUCAUUUACCAAACUUGCGUGGAGCAAAUUAGGCGAAUUUGUUAGGUCCAGCUGUAAAAGAUAUAUACAGAUUGGAUACUAAAAGUGAACAGAGAAAAUAUCACCUGUUGUUCAGUCAUCUGCAUAAAGGAAACGGUAUAGUACACCAACUCCUUCACAUUAUUUGCAACAACCUGCAUCAAUAUAUUUUUAAGACAUGAAAUCAGAUUACAUGUAGAAAGCAGAGCUGCAGAUCAUAAAUGAUAAAGAAUUUCAAGAAUGACCUAAUAACCACCUCUCCAAACUUCUUGCUACCCACUAUGGUCAACAGGGUCUCAAAUAACUGCAAGUCCAAAUAAGCGGCUUUCAGUCAUGUUGGACAAGAAAUAUGUUAUUAUAUACACCAAAUACCCGGUGAAAAGAGCAAGCAAGAAGGAAGAAGUAAACAGUCAAAAAGCAACAAACAGAAGUUACAACUACUUGAACAAUGCUAUCCUGUAUGGCAUACAAUUAGGAAGGAAACAACUAGAAGAGGAGAAGAAGAAAAGGAGAGAGAGAGAGAGAGAGAGAGAGAGAGAACGAUUUAAGUAUAUUCCUGCUCAACAAGAUUUUUUGCAUACACUUAAAGAAAUAAAUGUACGAAUGAAAACUUAUUCCACAGUCUCAGUCAAAAACAGGUCUAAAGAAAAGGCCGCCGGGGGGGAAGCAGACUCAAUUCAUCGAGCAACUAAAAUGUUCAUCUUCAAAUUUCUUUACACCCAUCAAAAAGACUUUUAUCAGGUUACAGCAGCAGGAGUCCUAGAUCACAUCCACUGAGUACGGAAGUCCUUCUGGUGGAAAAUACCAUUUCCAAUAUAAGCCAGAACAACCAAAGCAAUACACGAGACAGAUGAAAUACAAUCAUCGAUGUAAUCCACAUUAUACAAACUUCAAUAGGAAGAAUCAGACGAGUUCUCUCCAAAAUAAAAUCUUCCAAGUACCAGAAAAGAAAUGAACUGGCAGACUGAAUUUCCAACUAAAAGUCUUGCUUUAAUAGACAAUUUAAACUUGGUCUCCCACCUCGCACUUCCAUACUUGUAGCUCCUUUCUCUUUUCAGCAAUUAAGGUGACAUCAUUUUUUAAACUUCUAUGUUGUCAAGUUUUAAGAACAGAUGCUGAUAGAGCUAAAAAAGACUAUCAUAUUAUCUGGAUAUAUGUAUGUAAGAAUUUCACUCAUCAAACAAAAAAUGUUUGCAGUAGCGAUUCUAUUUAAAAAUUUUAAUACCUAAGUUGCACUAAAAAUGUCAGGAAAAUGAUGCAUAUGCCAUGCCAUGGCCAAUAAUGUGACAUACAAGAUGGUACCAUACAAAGAUGGCAUUAAUUUAGCUUCUCUAGAAAUGAAGGCACUUUAAGAGUACAAACUAUUUCAAGAAAAAAUAGUAAACAAAUCAAGGAGAAAACAUGCAAUCAUAAUAGCAACAUCAAGCUUUAAAAGUUCCUAAGCAUAUAACCUAUAUAAGGUGGGAAGCCAUAAAUUGUAUACUCAAUCCAACCAUUUAGUAUACAUAAAAAUCCUCAUCUUCAUCAGUAUUCAGCUUAUAUUUUAGAAGCUAAGCAUAUCAUAAGCCAUUUACAUACAUAAACCAAGGUAUUGCUCUACUUAAAGAUCAGGAAGCAUAUGGAUGCACUAGCUAUGAGUGCACUGAUGUCACAUAACUUCAAUGUAACUUUAACUAUUUUACAUUUUUACCUGCAUAACAUAGGAUUCUAGGCUUUUCUCCGAACCAUCAGAAUCAUAUCUUCCAUCAUAAGAAUCUUCUGCACCUUCAAUUGAUGCUCGUUCAUAUACUCCUAGUGAAGAUACAAAGGUCUGCCAGAGUGGCCCCAAGAUCACUAAGAUGUCACCACAAUAACAAAAGAAAGAAUCAAAAACCAUAAAUGGAAAAUCACAAAAUUUUUUCUCAAAUUUGGCUAUUGCAAGUAUCAUACUGCUAAACUCAUAUCAAAAUAAGAAAGUUAUACCAGUAAAUUGAGUUUCCAUGAGGCUUGGGAAAUUCUGUAGGAACUGAUUCAAGCACUUCAAAACCUACUUAUAAAAAAGUUUUAAGAUAAUUUCAGGGUUGACCAUUUAAGAUUGAAAUAUUAAAAAAUGAAACGUUAGACGCAUAUGGAGCUGUACCUCCAUUCUGAUGCUCCAGUCACCAGGGUCUUCAGAAUGUACUGGAGGUCUAAGGACAACACAAAACUGAUCUAACCAUAGCUGAAGCAUUUCUGACAUCAAAGCAGUUGUUUCUGCCUAAUUACAGAAACUCACAAUCAGCUAAACAGUUCAAAGGAUUAGAAUUUUAUAAGAGUAGCUUUGAAACUUCAAGAGUAAAAUUCUGAAGAUACCUUAUAUACACCACUCAUACUCCCAAGAACAGAGGUAAAAGAAUAUACUAUGGAAAAAGCCUUUAAGCGAAGGGAUUUGUCAUACACCUGCAUGAAAAAUUCAACUAGUUCCUGAGUAAUACUCAGGGAAAAUUGAUCCCUAAGCUUUAUGCAACAUGCCAAAUUCACAGCUGUCAUUCUGAAUUUUGGAAAAAUAGGUAAUAAGCUAGUUCCAAGUUGUUUACUGUAGAGUAACGUAAUAUUCGAUAAGAAGCAAACUCUAACUUAUAGUAAUUAUUUUUGGGGGAGAGAGAGAGAGAGAGAGACUGUAUCUGGUAUAACUGCAACUUCACUUCUUUCUAACUAUUUAAUAUUUCUGCUGCAUGUUAAACCUAACAGCAGAUGUCAUUGUCAAAAUAUUAAUAUCGCAACAGCAAGCAUAUAUUCUGCCACUUUCCCAUCAUAUAACUGCUUAGUGCACUUGGAUGAAUGGAGAAGGUGGAAAGAGAAGGAAAUGAGGGAGAAAUAAUUGUUUGUACGCCCGCACCAACUGGCAUAAGCAAAUAAUUGUUUAGCCAAAGAUGGAUUUUGAGCCAUGGAAUGAAUCGAGGAACUAAAGAAAAGAUACAGCAGAAGUUGCUCAGAGAGCUAUAAGCAAAGCGCUGGGAAUGGAAAUGCCCGUAGAGGUAGUAGCAAGCGCAGCGCAGUAAGGGUUGGAAAGCCAUUAUGGUGGCCAUAGAUCACUAGCAUGUGAGAAGCAAGCAAUACCAACCUCUGGUACUACUUUUUUCCUCUGAUUUGAUAUAAUAAUAAACUUUUCUACAUAGACUUUUACACUUCUGGUUCAAACAAAAAUUCUUGUUACCGAUUGUCAUGGGUAGUAUAUACCAAAGUCGCUGAACUUCACUCCAGGUCUAGAAUGAUUUUUACAUAAUUAAAAUAAAUCAUUUCAAAAAGAACAAGCCUAAUAUACAAGCAUAAAAUUCCAUUUUGGAGAUUCCAAGAUAUGGUUAGAAUUCUAAAAAUUUCUAGAACAAAAACUAACCUGAGGAGAGGAUAUAAUUGCAUGCAAACAAGGGAAUAAAACAGGCAAGAGUUUUGGCACCAUCUUAUCAUCCAAGUCUGCAGAGAGAAGAGCCAAACAUCUUAAAGCCCCAUGUACUGCACUACACAAAAAAAAAAAAGAUGUCAUAUUCAUCCUCCACGGAGCUGGUUUACCACAACAAAACACAAACAAGAAGCAAAAGCUACUUGAUACAAGUUGUGCGAACCAUACCAGCAUUCACAUUAUUCUGCUCAUUCAUCAGCUUCAAAAGAAAUGGUAAAAGGUCCGGCCAAUCCUCUGGCCAGUCAUAAUGAGCAACAGAUGCAACAGCCACACUAACUGCAGUGCAGAUUUUUUUAUGAGGAUCAUCUACUGAAGCCAGGAGAAGUCUACGUAUCGUGGCCUGAUAAUACAACUUGUAGGAAAUUAGGAACAUGAAAAGAAAAGGCAGAGAUCUGUAAAUCACAAAUAGUUUGCUCAUAAAUAAAGGAAACUAAAAACUAAUAUUGACGGAGUACAAGACGCUAAUCAAAGUGAGCUUCUGUCUCUUCCACUAUAUUUAUCACAUACAUUCCUUAACUAUGAAAUACACAACUCUGGAAUUUUGAGGGUAACAAAAAGUGACAGAGAGACAGAGAGAUAGGAGAACCUUCUCAUCAUUUGAAACAACAGGAUGCUCAAAAGAUUCUUCAUCUUCAUCCCAAUGUUUCUUAAUGAAUUGCUUUAGAAGAACAGCAGCUAAGUAGAAUCAAGUUAAAGUACACAAAUUAGAAAUAGAAAAGACAUGCAAAACCCUUAAAUACUUAGAAGCCAAAUUAAUUCAGCUCUGUCAACAGAUUAGUAGUGCAGUGCAUAUACUAAUCUGUCUGAGAUCUACAAAAAGAUAAUUCACUUCUAAAGAAGGAUAUCUGACGCAGCCCUGGUGAUAGCUCCCUGUUUGCAGCAACUUUGGAUAACGCACUUCCAAAGCCUUCAAAAAAGAUAAGCAAAGAAAAAUCAAUAUCUUGUCCUUACAAUCAUAAAAUACAUAGACUUCUUAAUCCAAUGGCACUCAUUCAUCUAAAGAAAAUAUUCCUGCCAUACAAAACCCCAGUUCUACGCAAACAGUGGAUUAAACUGCCUCAGAUGGUGAUGGAGAUUGUACAAAGUUUGUACAAUCAAAUCACUUCAAGUAUGUCACUUUGUUUAAGGGUUUGUUUAGGGAGCUAAACCAUAGAAAGGAAAAAAAAAAAUCAGUCUUGAGGGCCUUAAAUUAGGAAAAAGAAAUAAUGUGAUCAUCUGAAUUCAGUACAAGUGCCAGAUGGCAUGUGACAGGUGACAGGAUGACAGAAACGGUUUUGAACCCCUUUUUGUCUCAUUCUGAGUUGAUGACACUUCAACUUCAUCAAUUCAGAAUCCUCUUGAUACUAGAUACCAAAUAGAAACAUCUCAAAUUACUCAAACUGAAAUGUGACCAGUAACUGGAUGCUGUAAAAAUUAACAACCAAAGUAGUAACUGAACCAGCGAGCUGGGGCCACAAAUAAAGGCCUUUUCCUUGUUAAAUAUCUCUCAUUUUUAACAAAAAUUAAAACCUAAUAAACUUAGCAUUAGCUUUUUAUCUACAAAUACAAAUUUGACCUAAUGAAAAAGCCAUUUUUUCUCGCAAAAUAUCAAGAACCCAGAAUUCACUAGAAAGAUCAUUCAUUAUUACACUGACUGUACAAUAUUUCAUAAUGAGCUAAUGAAUUCACAAUAAAGUUCAUUCAUUUCAAGCGAGGCAGAUAAAAAGUGCAAUUUUCCAAAAUAUGGAAAACUCAGAACUGAAUUUAUAAUAAAGUUCAUUCAUUUCAGACACAAAAUCAGAAACAAUAAACAAUGCAUUGGAUUUUAGCUACAUAUAUAGGUUUGAGCAAAAAGAAAAAUAAACAUUUUCUUCACAAAAUGUUGAAAACCCAGAAUAAAAACCACAUAAAGUCCAUCCAAUUCCACCAUAAAUCCAAAAAAUAGUAAAUUUGGCACUCCAUUGUUGGGAAAUAUAUACAAUCUGAGCUAAUUUAAAAGAAUUUAUGUGAAUGAGAACCUGCUUGAAGGGAGACCUGGUGAAGAGAGGCUUCAGCAAGGGACCGGACUUUCUGAUCAGUAUCCAGAGUGGCAUUCAAGCAACUGAUGAGCCACUGCUGUUCUUGAUCCAUUUUUACUACUGAUGUAGGCAAAUGUGGUGGAUAUCUAUACAGCAAACUAUGUUCUUUUUUUCUUUUUUCUUUUUUUUUUUGGAGGGGAGAGUGGGAGGUGGGGAGGAGAUUAAGGGGUUUGGACCCUUUUCAGGAUUUGGAAUUCAGGGAGAGAUUAAGGGGAAAUGGGGGAAGAAAAAGAGGUGUGGGUUUUCCAAUUUGAGCAGUGAGCUAUGUACAACCUCAACUUAGCGGUUAGCAGGGCAUAGGGUUUUUGCGUUCGGAAGGUUUAAGAUUGGCCGGACCAGAAUCCCGGUUCAGCGGUGGACGCCUCAUAUUUCCGCGCCAAUUCAUUCGUUCUCACUUAUUUUCUUUCUCCCUUUUUUUUUUUGUUUUCAAAUAACUUCUUCUGAGGGUAAUUUCAAUUAGGCAGUUAAUUUUCACAAUGCUAUCAAGACAACGCGAUAAAAUGCAAGGCAAGACAAAAAGAAUAGGGAAAAGCUAGUAUAUAUUUUACAAAACGUUAUACCUUAUCCAAUUAAAUGUACUCUUACUUCUAAUAUUGUUUGAGUGCACGUAACUAUGAAAUCUAUAAUAUUUCAUCUAAUUGUAAUAAUUAAUAUUCGUAGUUACAUCCUUUAGAUUUUUAUUUUUAUUUUUUUUUGCAACCAUCAACACAUUAUUCAACACUUUAUUCUUGCUUUUGGUCACAAUUUUUUUAAAAAAAAUUAUUUUUUAAAAAAAAAAAGAAAAUUGUGUGUAAUAACUAUCACAAGCUAUAGCGUGUGAUUUGCAUAAUAAAGGUUGAGCUUGUUUAACUAUUUUUAUUCAUUUUUUCUUCAAGGCUUUUUUCAUUGAUAUAGAAUAACUUCUUUGUUUGGAUUGCCUCUUUCCAAAGGAAAAUUGCUACAUUUUUCGUAGAUACAUUUUUUAAUCAUCUUUUUACUUCACAUAUAUUAAAUCGUUACCGUAUAUUUUCUAUAAAAAGUUCAGAAAAAUACAAUCCAAACAAAGUAUUUUUCUUCCUUUAAAGCAUAUUUCCACUGAUGUGCAUAGAAAUCACUAUUCAAGACUUCAAGCUAGUCUAUUUUUCCCAGAUUGAUCAAGACUUUCUGAGCUAUCCUCUUAGAAGAAAUACUUUGGUAGUGCUUGAUCAGCUGUUCAGUCAUUUUUACUCCAGACAAUGAUUUGAAAAUGGAAAAAUGGUAGUGCUGGAAAAACACUACUACUAGUAUGAGAGGAAUAGAGGAGUAGAUAGAAACAGAAUAAAGAAGGAAUGUUUACAUGCUAAUAAUUAAACCGGAUGACUUCAUAAGCCCAAGAAGCAUUAAACUCCUCAAAUAGCUGAAGAAACCAUUAUUGUCAAUAGUCGAAAUGACCUAUAAAACAAGAAAUUCACAGAAAUCUAAAUUUGGCUGCCUAUUAAUCUUCCUGAUCACAAAAGUUGUUGAUGAAGUUAUUCCCAUUUGCUCUUAAUUUGAUCGUCAUGCAAGAAAUGAUAUUCCAUUACCAAAGUCCCAUCCAUUCUCCUCAAAACAAACCUUUCAACCAAAACAUAGAGGCCAAAUUCUCUCCAUUCAUCACUUUUCUUGAACUCCUGUGCCCUUGUGAUCCUCACCUGUCUAUUCUUCCCACUUCUCCAUCCUUCUCUUUCUUGCUCCCAUUUCAUUCUUUCCACAAUUUCUGGACUCAAACCAACCCUUCUUUUGGCUCCUCCUCCAUCAGAAAAUCCGAACCAUAUUGCCCCCUCAUCUACAAUUCCCUCGUCCCAUUCAGCCUUAAAACCACCAACAUAGACAGCUUCGUUUUCAAGAACAACAUCCACAGUUAACUGUUUUCCUUCAUUAUCUUCUUUGUUAGAGUUAGAGCAAGAGAAAAUCUUCUUCCACUGUUGCUCCAAUGUCAUCACGUAAAACAUUGAAUUCGACAUCUGAUAUCUCCGCAUAAUGGUGCCUUCUCUAACAAACAUGAAAGGACAGUACCACUUCCCAACGACAAGAGUUUGAGAUUCCUCACAUUUCAGGGGGAAAUCGAAUCGCGGCAUGCAGGCUCGAAGAGCUUUAUCAAGGCCUGGAGCUUCAUCUAACAUAAAUUCUGUCGAAAGGCGAGCUUUCCAGCCAACUUCGUUAAUCCUCCUCAAUGGUUCAGGAGGAAAACCACCAUCCACAGUAGAUAAUCCGGCAAAAUAACGACCAGAUCUUUUAACAAUUUUGAACUGUUGAUAAACGCUGCUUGGAUCCAGUGGCCUUGGUCUUACAUCUUCGAUACAGCAUGUGUUAUUGCAGCUUAAUUCCUUUGAGCAAGUUAAAGCUUCCCUGAAUACGCAAUUUUGGAUUUUACAAAAAAAGGUUAGAAUGUGCCUAAUGCAAAACUCUAUAUUUAAGUAACAAAACUAAAAAGUUCCAAUUACCGAAGAUAAUCCAACAAACCAAACAAUACUAGAAUUUUCUUAUAAUUCCUCCACCUCUUCUUUGACCCCCAUCAAGUUCAUCUAAAAAUAAGAACAUCGUAGAAACCAUGGAAGUAGAACAAAGUAAUUAACUCAAGAAACUGGUGCUAGAAAAGAUUGUUACAAUGUAGUAGUAUAGUACCCUGAAAAAGGUUCAUCCCGAGAUAUGACAUAGUAGAGAUUUGAAGAAAGCGGCUGGUUAAGAACUGGGAUGAACAUAAGAUGAUCGUACACAUUUCUGUAAUAUCUGUCACCAUUUGAGUAGGUUACUACUCUCACUAUAGUCUUAAUGGUUAGACUAUAAUUCUGCGGAAAAGGCAGGUCCCUUACACGGUCAUUAUCAAAUGAACACAAUCCAAAACAGCAAGUUUCAACCUUUCUAUCUUGAAUUACUAGGAAACCUGAAUGUGGCCCUUCAGGAAGUGAUGAAAGGGAGUCUGGAGAGUUCUUGAAGAAAGAUUUAGGCCUUGUUACAUACAUGAUGGCGUACCAAUCGCAAAAAGGUUUGCUGUACUAACAAGCUUGAUGACAGAGAAAUAAAAGUACUGAUCAGAUGACUAAAGAAAGGGUUUUCUAUGAUUACUGGGGAUUUUGAGAAUCAAAUCAGCACCAAAAUUUCAGGGAAUUUGAGGAUAAACUUUGAGGAGAUCAAAAUAUCACUUAUCCAUCGUGACUAACGUCCCAAGAGUCCCGCAAGCGGAACAAAAGCCUACAGAAUAGGAAUGGCAACUGAUUCGUUAUAUUCUAUUUGGUGCAGCUCUUCUUCUUUCCCUUACCAUCACGCCUGCCUGCAGAAUAGUGAAAACAGUUCGUUGCAUUGUGAUGUCGUAACCUUCGUCGGUUUGAUUGGGUGAUUCUUAGUAAGGCUACUGCGAUUUGAUAAUUUGGAUAUGUCUAAUGAGAUUGAGACUUUGCAUAGAGGACCAAAAAAUUCAUAGACAGAAUCUGUAGACUUGCAAAAAUAUUUUCCGGCAAACGGCAGCCAGUAACAAACAACACAUCAUGGAUACUUUCCGGUGAUCUACCACUGAAUGCUAUUAAUUCCUGGUAUUCCUAUUCCAUUAUCCAUGGAGAGUAACACUAGAAUCAGUACCAUGUCUGGUGAGGAUGAUUGAAAUAGUAUGUUAUUACAAACUUCCAUCCAUUCUGUUCAGUAUAAAACAUUCAAUGAAACACAGCACCAAGUUCUCUCCACUCAGGCACCCUGAGAAUUUUGCAUUAAUCUGCAGUUGUGGUAUGAAUACUAAUGAAUUCUAUCUGCCUGCUCAGUACUAACGCUGCCACAGUUAAAGUUCUGCUUUGGAAAGAAAAUUAAGAGUCCUAAUCGAAUGUGGCAAUUAUUAUGCUCAAUCUUUGUUUUUCAACUUUCUUCAGCCCAUUAUUGAUGAUUCGAGGUGGAAAAUGAUGGGUCAUGCCAAAGUUUUGCCUGGUUUCAAUCUAGAAAUUGAGCAAAAUAGAAUUUUCUAGACAAGCACCGGGGAAACAUUGAAUUGUUUUAUACAAACCUCAGCAACGUGGCCGAAGAGUAUUACUGAUUACAAACAUGUAAAAGGACAUUUUGCUUGGACAGAUGGGAUUUCAAGAAAACAAACUAGAAUCAUGGAUAAGUUUGUAGUACAUAAUUAAGAAAUGCUAUUACUCCCUGGUUGCUCCUUAAACAUAGUACUAGACUCUUAUCCCACCUCCAUUUUAUCUGGUGAGAGUGUAGGAGAUCAUAUGGCACCAGCAAACUUCCAUCCAUUCUCUUUAACACAAAACUUUCUACCAAGAUAGAGCAACCAAAUUCUCUCCAAUCACCCUUGUCCCCAAAAUUUUCUUUCCUCUCAACUCUCACUUGCCUUCCUUUCCCACCUAACAUUCCAGAUCUUCCUUGCUCGCAUUUCAUUCUUUGAACUAACUCCACACUCAGACCUACAUUUGCUUCUUCUCCACCUCUAUUGAUGCUCCUAAACCAUAUCUUUCCUUCAACUACAUUUCUCUCAACUAGUUAAGUAAAUAUUAUAAUUUCAUCCCACAUAUUUUUGCACAUCUUGAUUAAUCGCCAUAACGGUAGAUGCUUUCCAUGUAUUUUCCAUUUUAGAUAAAAACUAGAUUUAUGUGGAUAUUUUGAAAGCUUAUGAGAUUGUAUUAUUAUGCACAAGCACAGAGGGUUGAGACAUUUACCCAAAACAAAGUAUACCUUAGUUUUGUCAUCUUUACCAGCAUGGAGAACCUUCCCUCCCUCAGUUAUGGAGUCAGGAUCAUAGCUACUAGAGAAUCAAGCAGUUGGACUGUUUUUUUCCGGAACUGCUCUUCUGAUAUUUCGAGAUCAAAAUCUAUGGACCAAGACACCAGGCAAAGUAAAUUUUGAUGCAGCAAAUUUGCGAAAUGAUUUAAUUUGACAUUUAGUUGGAAAGUUAACAAAAGAUUACAAUAUAACGUUACACAUUGUUUAGCUCCUAAGGUCACCUGGUAAAGAAUUAGUCUUUCCAUUUUGGGCUAAACCAAACCACAUUUUUUAUUCAGACGACGUUUUUUAUUCACACACUAAUCAAAUAUCAAAGGAGGAUAACUUAGCAGAGUCUCUUGCACCAUGGUUGAGGUUCUCCAGACCACAUCUUUAUUGCCCGUUAGUCAUUGGCUAAUCCACCUAGCUUAGUAUUAUUGGUAGCACGACAGAAACAAUUUCAGGCAAAGUUUGACAGUUGCUGUUUUACAUCUAUCAUCAAGUUGCCAAGAGUUGCUGGAAUGGUCUUUUGGGCCCUAAAAACAUUCAUUUAAACCACAACAGAGUCUACUAUGCAAGGUAAUAUCCAGAAUGCACUAUUGGAUGAGCAAAUAUAAUCAAUUUAUUCCAUGAAACAGAAAAUGCUAGAGAAGUAACCUUGAAAUACUGACAUUUUAUAUGGACCUCAAUAACCACAUACUUACAUAUAUAUUUACGGAUAUUUUUGUCUUACAAGCAGUGUGUGGAGAAAACAAACCAAAAUUAAGGAUGAAACCAACGCAAAUCAAGAAAACAAAUCAAAAUCUAGGAUAAGUCUAUGGUAAUAGAACGUUUACAAAUGCAACAGUGAAGAGACUCAAUCCCAUGUGCACUUGAUCUGGUGAGGGUGUUUGAAAUCAUAUGUCAUUAGCAAACUUCCAUCCAUUCUCUUAAACACAAAACUCUCAACCAAAACAAAACAUCCAAAUUCUCUCCACUCACCCUUUUCUCCAGAGUAUUCUAUCCGUUCCACCCUCACUUGCCUUUCGUUCCCACCUAGCCAUCCAGCUCUUUCUUGCUCCCAUUUCAUCCUUUGAACUAAUUCUAUGCUCAGACCAGCUGUCGCUUCCUCUCCAGCUCUCCCAAAACUCUUAAACCAUAUUGUUCCUUCAACUACAUUUUUCUCAUCCCACACAGCUUUGUUGCCAGCAAUGUAGACAGCUUCUCGAUCAAUGGUGACAUCCAUGGACACAGACUUCGCCUCAUGAUAGAUAUUCUGUGUUGAAUAUACCUGCUCCCACUUUUGCUCCAGAGUCACCUGAUAAAACAUUGAUCUUUUCAUCUGAUCUUUCACUAUCCCAUCUUUGAUAAACAGAAAAGGGCUAUACCAUUUGCCUACUACAACUGCUUCAGAACUCUUAUACGAUGGUGGUACACUGAAUUCAGGAAGGCGGGCUCGUAGAGCAGCAUUGAGACCAGGAGCUUCGUCUAAUUCAUAGUGUUUUGGAGUUUUUGUGUGAACUGACCACCCUUUUCUUCUCAAGAAAUAGGGAGGAAAACCAUCCGGCGCAACAGAUUUAGCAUAAAAGUAACCCCUGCCAACGCAAGCUGCUUCAUAAACAAAAACCUCAAAUUGUUGGUAAAUGUUUUUUCGAUCAAAUGGCCUUGGUUUAAUAUCUUUAACACAACGGCAGAAACAGCAGGUGGUCUUGUCUUCUUCUCUAGAACAAGUCACGGCUUUCCUGAAAUAAUGAGGAGGAGAUUAAUUAGGAAAUGCUCCGCGACAAACCAAUCAGAUUAAGGAACAAAUUAGUGGCAUACUGUAGGAAAGCAUUAACAUGCAAUUAUUAGUUUUUCAGGUUCUGGAUAGAGAACUUUUAGAUGUGAAGAUAUCUGUUUCAAGUUUGCUGCAGAGGCUAGAGCAUAAUACAAGUGAUGAAUGCAGUUAAGUCACAAUCUGUCAACCAAAGUUGUCUUAUUAAAAUUGAUUUUGUUCAUCGAAAUUCUCUUCCUGCUGUAAAAUUAUGCUGAUUUUGUUUUCUGAAACUUUGCAUCUCCUUUUAAACUUAGCCUGCUUGAAGACUAUUUGAAUUAUAUUCAGGCCACUCAAUUCCAAGGUUUCAAAGUGCUUGAUUCUGGUAUGGUUCUUUUCAGUUGAAGCUCAUUCUCCAUUUCAAAGAAGAAUCACUUCCUAACCAGUCAUUUAAAGCUGAACUAAAAAACAAGCUCAUCAAAACAUAAAUACAAGUUAAAACCAGAAUAAGGAGCUUUUUGAUACAUACCCUUUGUGAUUUCCAUGUGGCUUGAUGACAUAGUAGCGAUUCGAAGACAAAGGAAGGUUGAGAACUGGAAUGAAGACAGCAUCAUCAAGGGAAACAUCUUGGGACUCACCACUACUUUGUACGUACUGAACUGUCAAGUCCUUGUUCUGAGGAAACGGCAGAUCCCUGACGGUUCGAUUCUUGCACAAUCCAAAACAAGAAUAUGUCUCCGAUUCUUCAUCUUGAAUUACCAAGUAUCCCGAAUUUGGACCCUCCGGGGGUAAUGAAAGUGUAUCUGGAUUCUUUGUGUACUCAGAAAGUGGCCUUGCAACAUACAUUUUUCCCAAAAUCUUCUUCCCCAAUCCUCCUGUGUUAGUCUUUUUAUUGAUGUUUAUUUGCAAAUACCAUAUCCUUCUCUGUCUCUAUAUGUAUAUCUACAAGAGGAUAAGCUUCUCUGUCCCUAUAUGUAUGUCUACAUAUGGAUAAGGUGGGAACAUUUAGAAUCUUCAGUAUACAACCAAGGAAGUUCACACUGGACAAAAUAAUAUCCUAAUUGCAAAGAUAGGUUAGAAAUCAACCAACCUGGAAAAGUUGAACAAGUUAGCUAACCAGUCAACAAGCUGACCAGUGCUAAAUCUGUUUGCAGAUACAAUUUUCUCGUUGAUUCCAGGAAAGUUACCCGGAAUCAGCAGCUUAUAUUUGUCGAAACCUUGAAAACAAGUUCAGCAGCUUUAUGUAGAUUCAAGUUUUACUGUUUCGCACAUAAACAAUGUCCGGCAACAUUUGCUUAUUAUUUUUUGACAACGUCAAGAAAAUUAAAUAUAGGAUAAAUUACACUUUAUCCCCUGUAAUUUAGCAUUUUUCAUGUAAUCUCCCUAUAGUUUCAAAAAUUAUAUAUAGCCCCCUUAUUAUUUGAAUUAAAGUGUCAAAGUGACGGAAAUGAUUAUUCUUAACAAAACUUUUGAAAAUAUCGAAAUUACCUUUAUAAAUACAUGACACAUUAACAGCAGCGUAUAGUUUUAUGUUUUAUCAUAUAAACCCCUUAUAGUUUAAUUACUUUAUCAUAUAACCCCUUAUGAUUUUUAAAAUAUACACAUAAUUCCCAUCGGUUAAUAAAUAAUUUUUAACUUUACAUAAGGAUAAUUUUGACAUUAUAGGUGAUUCCAUUACGAAUGAUUAUUUUUGUCAUUUUGAUACUUUAAUCCAAAUUAUAAGGAGGUUAUGUAUAGAUUUUGAAACUAUAAAAGGGUUAUGUAAAAAAUACUAAAUCACAGGGGAAUAAAGUGUAAUUUGCCCUUAAAUAUAUAAUAAUAUCUUUUGUCAAACGUGUAGCCGUGUACUCCAGAAAAUUUGACGCACUCCAACAUGUCGGCAACAGCCAGAUUUAAGUUGAAGCAACUUGAAUGUGGUAAUUACUGCGUUUUUAGCUAGAGUUAUGGAAGAUAUUAAAAAAUUGUCAAGGAUAAGAUUAGAAGCCAAGAAGUCCUUGCUAAUUAUUUUAAGGUUGAUCCGUAACUGAAAUGAAUUGACUGAUCAGGAGGAAAGUUCAUGGUAUUUCUUCUCGUAGCUGGUCGAGCCUCAAAGAAAGAAACCAAUACCAUGAAGGCUUGAACAAACAGCAAAAACUUCUAUUCCGGUCUGGGGUACUUUUGGGCCUGGAUAUUUGGUGAUAUUCUUUUUUCAUGUUAGUACCCAUUUAGGGGUGGGCUGCUUUGGGUUCUAAGGUUAGAAGGAAUCAUGUUAUCACGAGAACUGCUCUUUAACCUGCUUUUGCUGCAAAACACCAUUAGGCCUGUUGGGCCAUGUAUAAAGUUGUUGGCAAGAAAACAUCUAUGUAGCGCAACAUGUUUUGUCCAUUUUAUAGGGAAUCUCAUCCAAAAGAACACCCAAUUGUGGAUUUGUGGGGACAGGCCUUGCAACAUACAUCUUUCCCAAUCCCAAAGCUUCUUCCCCAAUCCCUCCUCUUUUUUUUUUUUGUCGAAACAAUAGAUGUCUUAUAACCUAAUCUAGCCUAGUUUAAGGGGAAGGGGAGGGGGUUCGAUGUGAGUACAGACUCCAUCGAUGAAGGUCAAUUAAGACCGCCACAAAUUGUGGCAAAUUUGUGGGAGGCAGGGAUUGAACCCCUGACCUCCAGCAUCACCUUUAAUGGUGAUGACCACUGGACCAAAUGGCCAGUGGCUCCCCAAUCCCUCCUGUGUUAGUCUAUUUAUUGAUGUUUACAGAUGUUUGACAAGUCAUAUUUGCAAAUACCAUAUCCUUCUCCGUCUCUAUAUGUAUAUCUACAAGAGGAUAAGGUGGGAACAUUUAGAAUCUUCACUAUACAACCAAGGAAGUUCACGCUUGACAAAUAAUAUACUAAUUGCAAAGAUAGGUUAGAAAUCAACUAACUUGGAAAAGUUGAACAAGUUAGCUAACUAGUCAACAAGCUGAUUAGUGCUAAAUCUGUUUGCGGAUACAAUUUCCCCAUUGAUUCCAGGAAACUUACCCGAAAUCAGAUUAUAUUUGGGGCCAAACCUUGAAAACAAGAAGUUUAUGUUGUCCUAUUGCGUCUACGGUGGAAAGUUCACUUUUCUGCUCAUACUAGGCAGAAGCAAUGCAUGGAGCCCAACUGUGCUCUGCGGGACGCACAAAGAAGGAUAUUCGGGCACCAUUGGAGAGAGUGGGUUGUGCGUGGAUAAAAAUUGUAAUACAUUUUAAAAUCACAAUAAAAGUCCUCUUAAAAAUUUGUUCAUCAUCUAAUGCCCCGUACUUAUAUUUGAUAAAGGGAUAAUUUCAUAAACACCCCUUAAGAUUUUUGACAAUUUCACUUGGCUCCCCUUAUGUUUCAAUAAUUACAUAGACUUCCUUUGGUCUAAUCAAAUGACUAAAAUGUCUUUCACUUAAUAGUUAAUUCAUAAAGGGACAUUUAAAACCGAAAAAUACUUCUUUUUAUUCUACUUGUCAUUUCCUAAUCUCAAAAAAUAAUUUCCAUCAAUUUUCUAAUUUUCAUCUCUUUUUCCCUCCCUCUCUCCAUUCCCUUUCAUAUUUUUCUCUCUUUUUCUCCUACAAUUGCAUCUCCCUCUUACCAAAUAUCGCGUUCCAUUAUUACCAAUCACACCACUAUUAAUUUUUUAUCAUCUCCAAAAUUUAUUUGUAUUUUUUGUAUUCCUGUCUCUUUUUUACUAUAAAAAUUUUAGAUCCUUUUUUUUUCAAUAGUUUUACUCUUUACAAAUGUUAACCAAUUGAAAUUACAAAAUUAACAAGGUGCAGACUGUGAAUUUUAUUGUCAAAUUAGGAAAAGAUGAAAAAGUGGUAGUGAUAUAGGAAAAAAAUGAAAUUAAGAGUUGGAACAUAAAGAAGCGACUAUUAUGCUUGUUAAGCAAAAAAAUCUAGCAAUUACUCAUUGGUUUUCUUUUUUAUUUACCUAUUGAUUAUGAUUUUACUAUGAAAGUAGAAUUUUGUUUCUAUUUUUAAGAGUGCUAGAGCAAUGAUGAAUUAUAUUUUAGGGACAUGGGGGCAUUUUUUAGUUUAGUAUUAGUAGUGGUGGUAGUGAGUUGCAUUAGACAAGAAUUAGCAAGUAAUGAAUUUUGAGAUGAGUUGAAGUCGCUGGACUUUGUUUGUUUUAGUGAGUAUGACACGUAGAAAAAAUUAAAGAUUAAAAUCUUGUUUUGUUUUGUCUUAUUCUUUGAAAAAUGGUAUUUUAGGAUAUUUGUGAAAAUUUAUAGGUUAUUGGGUUUAUAUUGUUACAUAAACCUUAAAAGCAAUGGAGCUAAGUGUAAUUUUUGAAACUUAAGAGGAGCUCUCUGUAAUUGCUAGAAACCUCAAGGGAGGUUUCUAAAAUUACCUAUUUGAUAAAUUAAAAUAGUUAAUUAAAUAUUCUAUUAUAAUAUAAACAACUAUAUGUCAUGGAGUUGAUUGAAUAAUUUUUUUUCUUUUUCUUUUUUUGGCAUUUCAACUAGUUGUCAAUUAAGUUUCAAUUGAAAUAAAUAUUUUAUAAUUAUUUAAAUUAUGCAAUAAAAUUAUCAAUUUAAGAUGAACAUAAAUAUAAAUACAUUAAAUUGUAUUAUUGAAAUAUUUGAUUUAAUAUGAAGGAAAGAUGAGAAGAAAUAGCAAGAAAUUUUUUAAAAAUUCAUAUGAAUCAUUUAUAUUGGUAAUCACCUCUAUUUGUUAUUGGAAUCACAAUGUCUAACCAUAACCGAUUGAAACUCAUAUCCACAAGUCAUACAACGAUUUGUGUUAUACUGCUUACAAUUAAAAUAACUAUAUAAUCAAAUUAAAAUUCUCUUUUUCUCACUAACUUUUCUUUUAUAUAUGAUUUCUGUGUUAUCAUUUGUUUGUAAUUAAUUUAACGAAAAGAUACUCUUUAGGCUAAAUGAUAUGUUUUGACAAUGUGGAUUACUUUUAAUGAUUUUAAUGAGAUUUAGAACUCAUUUGUUAUGCAUUUAAUCUAAUUCACAUUUUAUUUCAUUUGAAAUAUAAUUAUUUAAAACACAAGGGACCAUAUUGAUCAAAAUUUCAAAUAUUAGGGACCAAAAAAUAUAAUGUCAAACCCUUGACUAAUUCUAACUUGAUUUUGACUGUUAGAUAUUGUAGUUUUCUAUUAGUUGUCCUAAAUUUGCUUAAAAUAAAAAAUUUGGGACCAUAUUUAUUUUGGUCAAAAUAUCAGGGACUAGUUUAACUCAUAGACCAAAUAUUGGAGAACCAAAAUUGCACAUCUUCCUUUAUUUUAAUCAUGUUUGUUAUCCCAACUCUUUCUUUUAUAUUUACGCUUCAAUUAUUUCAAAUAUCAAAGUCAAUUAAAAAAUAAAAACUACUACAAUAUUUGUUUUGAUAUGUACAAAAUUCACUAAAUAAUGUUCAAAAUUUCACCCAUUUUCCGUUACAACAAUUUCGUCUUUCUUUUCGUACCUUUGUUUUCCACAUUUUUUUCACAUUCACUUUUUUGCUCUUCACUUUUUAUUGGGACCCACAUCUCGAUUAGGGUGUUCACAAAAUAUUUUCUAAGUAAAGGGUAUUAGAUGAUGAACAAAUUUUUAAGAGAGGUUUUAUUGUAAUUUUAAAAUGUAUUGCAUUAUUUCAUCCCAGCACAGCGGACCUUCUCCAGUGCCUGGUACAUUAUUUUUCUUUCCGUCUUUGUGCGUCCCCACAGAACACAGUUGGCCUCCUUGCAUCAGACGGAUCCUCUAUCCAUUAUGUCUGUCAACUUUUCUGUCUAAUAAAAAAUUACGUAGUUUCACUUAUUAAUACUGCUGAUGUAGCACAAAACAUUUAAUGCAUAUUUAGGGGGUGUUUGAUAAAUGAGUUUCAAAUUCAAUUAUAGCAUAGACGACCUACUUUUUGAAUCAACAUGACUGCAUAUAACUGUAACUUUGACAAACUCAAGAUUCUUGACCUCAAAUGCUUGUCUAAUCUCAUCUAAAUCAUGCGGUGUGAAAUUUCAAAGUAGAAGACUAUGGGUACAGUUGGACAUAAACAAACAUCAUUCAUGAAUAUAAUUGAAUUUGACACUCAUUUAUCAAACAUCCUCUAAAUAUGCAUUCAAUGUCAUGUGGCACAUCAGUAGUAUUAGUACGUGGAACUACGCAGACGGGAUUCUCUGUCCAUUAUGUCUGUCAAUUUUUUUGUCCAAUACAAAACUACGUAGUUUUAUUUAUUAAUACUAUUGAUGUAACACAAAACAUUGAAUGCAUAUUUAGGAGGUGUUUGGUAAAUGGGUUCCAAAUUUAAUUAUAGCAUGGAUGGCCUAUUUUUUGAAUCAACAUGACUGCAUGUAACUGCAACUCUGACAAAUUCAAGAUUCUCGUCCUCAAAUGCUUGCCUAAUCUCAUCUAAAUCAUGUGGCGUGGAAUUUCAAAAUAGAAGACCAUGGGUUCAGUUGGGCAUAAACAAACAUCAUUUAUGGAUAUAAUUGAAUUUGACACCCAUUUAUGCAUUCAAAUACCCCCUAAAUAUGCAUUCAAUGUCAUGUGCCACAUAAACAGUAUUACUAUGUGAAACUAUGUAGUUUUGCAUUGAACAAAAAAAUGGAUAGAUAUAAUGGAAGAAUCCCGUCUGCGAUGGUUAAGUGAUAUUUUGAUAUCCUCAAAGUUUAUCCCCAAAAUCCCUCAAAUUUUGGUGCAGAUUUGAUUCUCAAAAUCCCGAUGGCGGCAAGUUGAGCUAUCUUUGCAAGGUGGGAAGAAGUAAUAGGUUUACGUCUACGGUGGAAAGCUCACUUUUCUGCCCACAAUAGGCGGAAGCAAUGCAAGGAAUCGUGACUAACGUCCCAAGAGUCUCGCAAGCGGAACAAAAGCCAACAGGAUAGGAAUGGCAACUGAUACGUAAUGUUCUAUUUGGUACUUCUUCUUUCCCUUAUCAUCACGGUUGCCUGCAGAAUAGUGGAAACAAUUCGUUGCAUUGUGAUAUUGUAACCUUCUUUUGUUUGAUUUGGUGAUUCUUAGUAAGACAAUUACGAUUUGAUAGUUUGGAUAUGUCUAAUGAGAUUGAGACUUUGCAUAGAGGACCCAAAAAUUCAUAGACCGAAUCUGUAGACUUGAAAAAGUAUUUUCCGACAACCAGUUGCCAGUAACAAACAACACAUCAUGGAUACUUUCCGGUAAUCUAUCACUGAAUGCUAUUAAUUCCUCGUAUUCCUAUUCCAUUAUCCAUGGAGGGUAACACUAGAAUCAGUGCCAUGUACCCUUUAUCUGGUGAGGAUGAUUGAAAUAGUAUGUUAUUACAAACUUCCAUCCAUUCUGUUCAGUAUAAAACAUUCAAUGAAACAUAGCACUAAGUUCUCUCCACUCAGGCACCCUGAGAUUUUUGGAUUUAUCUGCAGUUGUGAUAUGAAUACUAAUGAAUUCCAUCUGCCUGAUCAGUACUAACGCUGCCACAGUUGAAGUUCUGCUAUGGAAAGAAAAUUAAGAGUCCUAAUCGAAUGUGACAAUUAUUAUGCUCAAUCUUUGUUUUUCAACUUUCUUCAGUGCAUUAUUGAUGAUUCGAGGUGGAAAAUAUGGGUCAUGCCAAAGUUUUGCCUGGUUUCAAUCUACAAAUUGAGCAAAAAAGAAUUUACUAGAGAAGCACAUAUGAAACAUUGAAUUGUUUUAUAAAACCUCAGCAAUGUGGCCGAAGAGUAUUACUGAUUACAAACAUGUAAAAAGACAUUUUGCUUAGACAGAUGGGAUUUCAAGAAAACAAACUAGAAUCAUGGAUAAGUUCGUAGUACAUAAUUAAGAAAUGCUAUUACUUCCUGGUUGCUCCUUAAACAUGGUACUAGACUCUUAUCCCAUCUCCAUUUUAUCUAGUGAGAGUGUAGGAGAUCAUAUGGCAUCAGCAAACUUCCAUCCAUUCUCUUUAACACAAAACUUUCUACCAAGACAUAGCAACCAAAUUCUCUCCAAUCACCCUUUUCUCCAAAAUUUUCUUUCCUCUCAACUCUCAUUUGCCUUCCUUUCCCACCUAACCGUCCAGAUCUUCCUUGCUCGCAUUUCAUUCUUUGAACUAACUCCACACUUAGACCUACAUUUGCUUCUUCUCCAGCUCUAUUGAUGCUCCUAAACCAUAUCUUUCCUUCAACUACAUUUCUCUCAACUAGUUAAGUAAAUAUUAUAACUUCAUGGUGUUAGCAGUAUGCUCUAGAGCAUUAAUAAUUAUUGUCUUGAUUAAAAUAAAAUGGCACUUCUUGAUUCAAUUAUUCUUGGUUUAGAUUUGAUUGAAUGUUGUCUAUUAUUAUUUGUUAAGGUUCCAUUCUCAUGUGAUGAGAAUAUGAGUGACGGAAAAACUUGGUACAAAUAAUAUUAAAUUGUUCCUAACCAUAGGAUUAUUAAUUGGGCAAGUUUAAUCCGGAAGAUUAGUCUCAUAUUUAUUUUCUAUGAUUAAUAUGAGAUAUUAAUGAUAAUAGAAUGGCGAAUCUCAUACCAUUAAGUAUGUGAUACUAGAACAAAUAUGAGAGGCACUUGUGUGACAAGUUGGCUUGAACACUGACUAAUUUAAAUAAUGAAUCAUUAGCUUAUUAAUGUCAAUGAUUCAUUAUUGAUUGCAAUGGUGCAUGUGAUCCUUAGACCUGAGAUGAUACGGUUGACUCAUUCAUGGGUGGUUAAAGUCUAUCAAUGCAGAAAAUACUUGUUCUAAUCACGGAUGAGUAUUGGCAUAUGGUACCUCUAAUUAGUUAUGCAUGGAGCUAAGUGUUUAUGCAAAAUGGGAUCUAUUAUUCCAUCAUGAAUGGUUUGAUAUCUUAUGAAAUCUAUCAAUCUUGACUAAAGGAGUUCUUGGCCAAGACAAAUUGAUUCAUGUAGAUGAUCAAUUUUAUAGUCAAGUAAUUUGAUAGAUUAAGUCAUACGAUUGAGUUUUAGAGUUUGACAUUAUUACUAAACUGAACUCAAUAGGGAUAUAGUAAUAGAAGGAUUUUUAUGCAAAACAAUUGCAGUCAUGGUUCACAUAAAAGGAUUCCAAUCUUUCAUCACCGGUUGGGUGUCAUGAUAUGCUGCUAGGCAUCACUCAUGAACUAUGUUAACUUGAGGUAUAUUUGGAGAACUUCUCAAGUGUUAGAAAUGUUCUAACUAAUGUUAAUAGGCUAACGUUUAUUACAUUGCCAACUGGGUAAUGGACCUAGAUAGUCACACACAAAAGGAUUUGAACUAAUAGGGAAGUUGAUUAGAAUGGGUUUAGACUUUGAUAAGGAUGCUAGCACAUCUUGAAACCUAAGCUAGAUGGAAUUUGGAGUUGGUAUUUGAGUAUGACUCAAAUAUUAUAAAGAUGAAAAUAAUAGUUAAUAUAAUUAUAUUAAUUGUGUUUAUAUUUUGAUGUGAUCAAAACUAAAACAUGAAUUAAAUAAUUGUAUUAAUUGUAUUCUAUUUUGAUUUGAUCAAGAUAAGAAUAAAAAUAUAAAUCGGCUGUUUUGAUUUGAUCAAGAUAAGAAUCAAAUAUGUAUUGGAUAAUCAUAUGAAUUAUGUAAUAUUGAUUUGAUCAAGAUAAUAUAAGAUAUUGAUCUAAUCAAAACAACUGUAUAAAUAAGCCCUAUUGACAAAGAGUUGUCAAGGGUCUACUAGGGUGAAAAACAAUCACGAUUGUUUUUGGAAAAGGAAGAAAGCAAUAUCGUUGUUUCUUCACUACCGAAACAAAACUCCAAAAUUCAGUAACCUAUUAAUUUGAGUCUGUGUGGACGAACUAGAGGCCUGACGUGUGGAAGGCUUAUUGCUGGAAUUCAAACAUCUACAUCAGGCAUCGCAUAUUCGUCUAAACAAGUAAGUACUUAUUUGUUUUGAAAUAUGAAGGCCUGAAUCAAAUUGCAACUUCAAGCAAGAAGAACAAAACUAAACUGUUUGCUCAUUCCGCUGCGCAAAUAAUUUUCUUUCACAUGGCACAUACUUUUGCACAUCUUGAUUAAUCGCCAUAACCGUAGAUGUUUUCCGUGUAUUUUCCAUUAUGGAUAAAAACUAAAUUUAUGUGGAUAUUUUGAAAGCUUAUGAGAUUGUAUUAUUAUGCACAAGCACAGAGGGUUGAGACAUUUACCCAAAACAAAGUAUACCUUAGUUUUGUCAUCUUUACCAGCAUGGAGAACCUUCCCUCCCUCAGUUAUGGAGUCAGGAUCAUAGCUACUAGAGAAUCAAGCAGUUGGACUGUUUUUUUCCGGAACUGCUCUUCUGAUAUUUCGAGAUCAAAAUCUAUGGACCAAGACACCAGGCAAAGUAAAAUUUGAUGCAGCAAAUUUGCGAAAUGAUUUAAUUUGACAUUUAGUUGGAAAGUUAACAAAAGAUUACAAUAUAACGUUACACAUUGUUUAGCUCCUAAGGUCACCUGGUAAAGAAUUAGUCUUUCCAUUUUGGGCUAAACCAAACCACAUUUUUUAUUCAGACGACGUUUUUUAUUCACACACUAAUCAAAUAUCAAAGGAGGAUAACUUAGCAGAGUCUCUUGCACCAUGGUUGAGGUUCUCCAGACCACAUCUUUAUUGCCCGUUAGUCAUUGGCUAAUCCACCUAGCUUAGUAUUAUUGGUAGCACGACAGAAACAAUUUCAGGCAAAGUUUGACAGUUGCUGUUUUACAUCUAUCAUCAAGUUGCCAAGAGUUGCUGGAAUGGUCUUUUGGGCCCUAAAAACAUUCAUUUAAACCACAACAGAGUCUACUAUGCAAGGUAAUAUCCAGAAUGCACUAUUGGAUGAGCAAAUAUAAUCAAUUUAUUCCAUGAAACAGAAAAUGCUAGAGAAGUAACCUUGAAAUACUGACAUUUUAUAUGGACCUCAAUAACCACAUACUUACAUAUAUAUUUACGGAUAUUUUUGUCUUACAAGCAGUGUGUGGAGAAAACAAACCAAAAUUAAGGAUGAGACCAACGCAAAUCAAGAAAACAAACCAAAAUCUAGGAUAAGUCUAUGGUA